Molecule: ribosomal RNA, 253 nt
Filed under: uncultured bacterium
Lineage: Bacteria
Description: partial 16S ribosomal RNA
Rfam family: Bacterial small subunit ribosomal RNA
Source: RNAcentral
UACGUAGGGUGCGAGCGUUAAUCGGAAUUACUGGGCGUAAAGCGUGCGCAGGCGGUCUUUUAAGUCAGAUGUGAAAUCCCCGGGCUUAACCUGGGAACUGCGUUUGAAACUGGAAGGCUUGAGUGUGGCAGAGGGGGGUGGAAUUCCACGUGUAGCAGUGAAAUGCGUAGAGAUGUGGAGGAACACCGAUGGCGAAGGCAGCCCCCUGGGCUAACACUGACGCUCAUGCACGAAAGCGUGGGGAGCAAACAGG